Long non-coding RNA from Acipenser ruthenus (sterlet), 401 nucleotides. RefSeq lists it as uncharacterized. The record is from RefSeq and is a predicted model, not a curated record. Lineage: Eukaryota; Metazoa; Chordata; Actinopteri; Acipenseriformes; Acipenseridae. The transcript is spliced from 3 exons.
AACAGAUGAUGAUGAGGAAGCAAUGGAGAGCAUCGAAGUGGUCCUACCUGAAGGAAGAAAGCUCGACUCUACAGAUGCGCUCCAAAAAUUUGAUGAGCACUUGAAUGUUAACACCAGGAAGAGAAUGGUGCAGAUUCUACAAUCAAUAGAGGGAGGGAGCAACCUACCCAAGAUUUGUCGGGCAAUAAUGAGGUCACUUUUGACCAAUAAGGUUAUGAGCAUGUACAGUGUUGUUGGGCAAAAGGGAAAACUGCCUUUUAAAAAUCUUGAAAUAGCAAAAAUAAUUAUGAGAGCAAUCAAAAAGUCCACACUGGACAAAUUUAAAGAAAAUGAAAUAUUCUACUAGAUUGGUGAAGUAUUGAGGAAUGCACCUAAUCAACCCGGGGGCAUUAAUUAUGAGA